ACGCUCGACACCUACGGGGGGCAGCAGUGAGGAAUAUUGGUCAAUGGACGCAAGUCUGAACCAGCCAUGCCGCGUGCAGGAUGACGGCUCUAUGAGUUGUAAACUGCUUUUGUACGAGGGUAAACGCAGAUACGUGUAUCUGUCUGAAAGUAUCGUACGAAUAAGGAUCGGCUAACUCCGUGCCAGCAGCCACGGUAAUCUGAGCGGGCUGGCAAGGC
RNAcentral lists this ribosomal RNA (218 nucleotides) under uncultured bacterium. RNAcentral describes it as "partial 16S ribosomal RNA". It matches the Rfam family "Bacterial small subunit ribosomal RNA", at positions 328 to 539 of the family's 1533-position model. The record is from RNAcentral.